Molecule: long non-coding RNA, 816 nt
Organism: Vombatus ursinus (common wombat)
Lineage: Eukaryota; Metazoa; Chordata; Mammalia; Diprotodontia; Vombatidae
Exons: 3
Source: RefSeq, a predicted model, not a curated record
CUGCGCCAGAUCCUGUUCUCGGCGCCAUUUUGUCUCGGCAGCAGUGGCGGUAGCUCUUUCCCAUUUUAAGCUUCGCGAGGAGGGGAGCUGAGUCUUUACCCGGUUGAUUCGUUCUCGUGGACCAGGCGUUCACCUUCCGUCCCCAGUGAUAGCACAUUCUGCUGUAAGGAUCUGUAGAUUGGGUGAACUUCAGAAAGUCAUUCCACGUUGUUGGAGAGAUUUUGUUUCCUAAAAUGCCAGAACAACUGUGAGCUUUUUUUAAUGUGAAGAACAUGAAAACAGAAAUUAUAGUGGAGCAGCAAAGCCAACAGAACCAGAUUUUGAAUCUGUUGAAUGACCAGUCAUUGAAGAAAACCAUCAUGUUUUUUAAAGGAAGAAAUAGAUAAUCUUGUACAAAUGUUUAAAGAAAUAGAUAAUUUUGUACUUUUGAGAUGUUUUCAGAAAAGUAUGAAGGCUUGAAAUGAAAGAAAAUAAAUUUAAGAUGUAAGCCUUGUUCAACAGUUCAGCAUUUAGGAGUGACAGCAGGAAAGCAUGGGUAUCCUAGGAAUGGAGUGUAUAUUUAGCAAUUCCACAAGGCACAAUUAACUUAGGCAAGCUUCUCUGUGGGGGGGAAAAAUUGGGGAGCACACUAUUUCUAAAGCCCCUACUAAAAGAUUAAUGAAAAGAUUCAAGUUUUUUAGUACUAUUUACAAUGUACUAAAACGUAAUAGAUCUUUAAUAUUGAGGGAGCAAUGGAAUUGCAAGAAAAAAUAAAUAUAAUACAACAAGAAUAGACAGGUGCCACAGUGGAUAGAGCACUGGAUCUGGAGUUAGGAA